Molecule: long non-coding RNA, 25210 nt
Filed under: Eucalyptus grandis
Lineage: Eukaryota; Viridiplantae; Streptophyta; Magnoliopsida; Myrtales; Myrtaceae
Description: long non-coding RNA (EGRA_LNC004596)
Source: RNAcentral
UUGUGGAGAACUUUGCAAGUUUGAUGUAAUUACUAAAAAAGAUGAAAUUUUUAUUUCUUAAUUUUAAAUUACUGUUAAUGUUUAAUUUUUUCAUAUUUUCUUUUUUUCCCCCUCUUCCUCUUAUUUGUGGUAAGUUUUAAAAUUUGAUUGUACUUUUUGAAAGUUGCUAAGAUUCGAUUACACUUUCAUAAUAAGUUUAAGAAUUUUUAGUGCUCUUAGCCAUUUAUAAAACUAUAGAAGGUAGCAUCUUUUUUAUAGAAGAAUAAUGAAGUUAAACCUAUCUACAUUUGAAGAAAAUGGAGAAUUAGGUUUCAGCGAUUUGCUUCCCCUUUAAUAAGGCAAUACUGAGAAAUCAAGCUUGGAGACUAACUCAAAACCCUUCAUCACUUUGGCGUUGGCUAUUGAAAUGAAUUUACUUUCCUAGCGUAGACUUUUGGCAUGCAGAAAAAGGAGUAUGCCCCUUUUAGGGAUGGUAGAGCUUGCUCGCGGGAAGGGAUUUAAUCUCUCACUUAGUGCAUUGUUUAGUACAUAAUGAAGCUAACAUAACAAUUAGAGAAAAGACAAAUGGCUGAAAAAGAUGGGGCUUGGAGGUCCUGCUCCUAGAGGUGAACCACUUGUGCAGUCGAUCUAAUUAGCAAGGAGAACUCAUGGAAUGUUCAAUUUCUAGAGGAUAAUUUUGACAUUAAAUUGUCGAUAAAAUCCAAUCUACUCCAGUGAGGACUCAAAUAGCAAAAGAUCAUAUUGUAUGGACAUGGAUUCAAUCAAACAAAUAUUCAGUCGAAAGAGGAUAUAAUCACAUAAGAGGGUCAGAUGACAAACCUAGCUAGAUUCAAGCAUUUUCCUCCUUUCAACUUCCUCACAGUCUAUGGAAGGAGAUAUGGAACUUGUGUACCACCCCUAAAGUCAAAUUAUGUAUGUGGCCCACUAUGUCAAAAUGCUCCACUUAUGAAGGAGAACCUAUUUGGAAGAUGAAUUGUACUCGAUUUGAUAUGCACAUUGUGCAAUAAAGGCGUCCUCGAGACAACAGAGUAUUUAUUCUUGUUACCCACAUACGACCUAGAUCUAUAUAUUAAACUUUCGAGAUAAGGUUUGUCAAGAAUUGAAGCAUGGAUAUAAGAACUAAAAGCAAACUUAGCUCACUUGCCAAAUUUGGAAGUGGUCGUGUUGGUACUCUGGCACAUGUGAAAAGCACGAAAUCACUUGGUCCUCACGAAUAGAGCUCUAGCUCCACCAGGCAUCGUGGAUUCUGCCAGGCGACGAGCAUAAAGAUAAUGGGUCCGGUCAGGCGCGGAGGGAGGUGAAGCAAGCAAAGUCACGGCCUUCGUCAGCCUUGCCACUUGCCAGCGAGGACCAUGGCACUCUCCGUAGAUCUAGCGCUGCGGCCUUGUUGAAUUCUCUCUGUCUCUGUCUCUGUCUCUCUUCAUAUGCGGGUGCAGCGGCGACGGUGGCAGCAACAAUGGGCUGAGACAAUGGUGAGGGUCGUUGGACCGUCGUCAGUGGAUGGACGGCCCUGCCACCGGCCAAGGUACCUCCUCCUUCCCUGGUCAGGCUUAGCCACCGACUCUCCCUCUUUUUUAGGGUUUUUUAUUAUUAAAAUUUGUUUAGGAAAAGAAAACCAGAAAACCCAAACUAUUUAUAUUUACCCUAAGUUUUUUCUUUAUAACAUAAAAAAUCUCACACUAUACACUAUACUAACUAUAAUACUUUUAUCCUUAUGAGAUCAAAAAUCACAAAACUAUUAUUAUGUGAUAUAUUUACACUCCACCAAGGUUUAGUUAAAUGAUUUUUUAGUCAAAAUAAAGUCAGUUGUUUUGCUUACAUCACGUCCUUGAAAAUAGAUUUUUAACGGUGCUCAUUAAUAAAAUAUUAAUAUAAGGUAAAUAUGUUAUACAUUAAAAAUUUAGAAUUUUAGAUUUGUGGAUGUUUUUUUUUUCCUCAAUUUUUUUUUUUUUUUUGCGCGCCAGUGAUGUAUUAGAUGGGAAACGGGUCAUUCGUAUAUUUAAGGGAAGGGAAUGGAUCAGUUGAGUAUGCGAUCAAAAAAAAAAAAAAAUUGCAAAGGCGUGUGAUUGAAUAAAAUAAAGAAGCUCAAUUAAUUCUUUUAUUUAUUAAUUUUCGCAUGACCGUUACCCAACACGGUCGACAAAUUGCAGUCCUAAAGCAGUCGUCCCUUCCCUUGAAUUUGACAUAAAUUUUCAUUUACCUAGACUCAAACUCGAGAGGUAGAUUCCCAGGAAGCUACUGGGAACAAAAGAGGAAGACGAUGGACACUUUCGAUGAUCUUCCCAUUGCCUCUUCUCUAGUCAUUUUCCAAUCUCAAAGUCUUUUUCUUUCUUUCUGUUUUCCUAGGAUUCACCGGUCAAUCAAAUGACUCUUAUAUUAUAUAACUUGAAUCUUUGGUCAAUCACAAUCCUCGAUUGAAACGCAGAAGGUCCUCGGUAUUACAAAAUUAACAGACGUAAGAAGGGGAAGAAACAUUACGAAAAGAUCGUAACCCUUCAAUAAUAGGGUGUGGUCCACAAUGAUAGGAGCUUGCCACUUUCGAAUCAAAUAAAAUUGUUGCUAACAGGAUUUUAUCGAUGAGAGAAAUCAUGAUUUGUCUCUUCUCAUAUCAUUUGCAAUCAAUAUUUUGGAAAUUAUACAAUUUUCUUAUUAAGUACGCUUAAUCUCAUUAAUUGGAUCCUUACAAUAUAAAAAAGAAGUUUAGGUAUAUUAAGGGCACGUUUGAUAACAACAUUUAGUACUAAAAUUUACAAGGAAGGAGCUGCCUCAUUAAAUUCAAACGAAAUUAUUUGGUGAUAAUUAGAGUAGUAUCAAUUAUAUUGUUGAAACUUAUUAAUAAUGUUUGGUUCGCCUAUGGUAAGGAACUAAUAAUCUCCCUAACACUAAAGUUGUGGACAUAUUUAGGGCUUAAAUAUGUGGCACCCAUUUCACAAUUUUAUUGAAUGGGCCUUUGGAGGCUAAGAUGGAUUAUGAUGCGACGAGAUAAAUUUUUGUUUGGAUACUAAAUGUGAUCCACUUGUUCAAAUGUUCAAUAAUAGUUUGCCUUAUCAUCGAUUUAAUAGCUUACGGCAAACACUAAUGAAUAAUAAUUUGCCUUAAAUUAUUCUUCUCAUGGUCAGAUAAGAAUAAUUUGCGUAUAUAUCUAUAUCAAAGAAUAAUACAUGCUUUAUAAGAUGAUUAAGAUUAAGAUAUUAUCAAUUAUAAUCUCUAUAAGAUAUGCACAAUUUAUAUAAGGAAAAUGACAUAAAUAAUUCUUGAAUUUUAGUUUAAUGUGCAAUGUGAUUCGUACAUUUUUAAUUUGUUCAAUGUGGUCUUGAAAUUUUAAAUGUAGUUCUUGAACUUUCAAUUUCAUUAAUAGUUUUUUUGGACUUUUGGUACAUAUUCGCUUUAGUUCUUGAACUAUAUAAAAAGAUUCAAUGUAGUCCCUACAAUCAAAUUAAUGAAAAGAUAAUAUUGAAUAUUUUAAUAUACUUUAGGGAUUAAGUUAAACAUGUUAAGGUAAAAUUCAAAAAUAUAUUUCAGGGAGAAUAUUGAGUAUUUUAAUAUUAUCAUAUUACAUAAUAAGGUAAAAUUCAAAAAUUAUUUUGGACGAAUUAAAAGUUGAAGGACCAUCGGAUAAAAGUUGAAUGACUAUUUGUCUGGUUAUCCCGUUUAGAUAUGGAACCUCGGAAAAUGGUGAAGACUGAAAGGACAUCAUGAUAAGAAAACUUUGAUUUUGUCGGACGCGUUCUUGGGAGAAGAACCGAUCGCCGAUCUACACCUACAGCGAGGACGACGGAAGAAACAAGGUAAAUUCUGAGCGCCCGAGGUCGAAUCUGCCCGGUGGCAUCCCUGCAUCUUCAUCGGUUCCGUGUCCGUGGAGGUGUGCAGCCGAGGGGAACGUUCGCCGCAAAUCUUUCGAAGACCAGAUCACCGCGCCAUUACUCCUCCCCAGAUGUUUCAAAUUCGCAGACCCAGACGAAGCCUUUAUAUGGUUUUACCGUUGCUGCCUCUAUCUUUCACUUCGCUUUAGCCGUUGGUGCGAUAGCAGUGCAGUGAGGAACAACUUUAAUCUCCGUCCGUUCGAUGUUCGUGCCGAGACUGAAAAGCGUCAAGCUUUUCGACCCGCUCCUCCACGCGCGCCAGGGCUCCGUGCCGAGACCGGUCGUCCGAGGCCUCUUUUUUAGUGCUUUGACUCCUCGCAAGCCAAGGGCUUUAGAGGGUACGCGUGGAUUGAUGCAUUUGGUUUUUUUCUCUCGAGUUUUCAUUGUUUAAUCCUUCGUCUGUGACGACGGUAAAGCCUACCCAAUUGCCCACCUUCUGUAUUUCUUUACUUGUUUGCUUCAUGGGCAUUCGCAAUUUAGUUGUUUUUGCGUUUGGUUCUUUCUUUCUUUUUUCAGAAAGUUUUGAUUUUUCUUCGUGGGUGUGGCUGUCUUGAUGCUCUUGAGCUUUGAUUAUCAAGGAACAUCGUUACCCAAGAGUGUUUGCGAGAGAGUUGACUUAGCAAACAGAGACUAUUGAGGUCUUCCUCCUUUUUUUAAUAGUAUUGUUCUGGGUUAUUUUCUAUUUGGGUUUAUUACAUUUGAGCUAGACCAGUAGUUUCCGAUAGAAAUCAGCGGAUGAAUGGUCGCUUCAUUUGUCCAGGUUUAGCUCCUAGGGUGCCCUUUCCCAUCAGAUACAAGUCCAUCAGUGCAUCAUCAGCUUUGAGGCAAGGCAUGACUGAACAUAACGAUAGUGAGAUCGAGCAGAUUCAACUGCUCGAUGGGUUUCAGGAUUCAUAUGGAGGAGUUACUGUGGAGAUGAAGGAGCAUAUGGAUGCUGAUGUCUUUGCCCCUUUGCUCCGGGCUUCAAUAUCAAGCUGGAAACAACAGGUACCGCACUUGUAUUUCGUCGGUCUCUUCUUGUUUUUUUCAAUUUGUAACAAUAUCAAUCUGGUCUUCUGUAUUUCUUCUUAUUGGGUAUAUUUUGGUUGCAGGGGAAGAAGGGAGUGUGGAUCAAAUUGCCCAUUGAAUAUUCGCAUCUUGUUGACAUUACAGUGAAGGUACAUACAUGUUUUUUCCCGUGGCCAAGAUUUAGUAUUGGCCCCUCUUGUUAAAUCACUUUCUAGCAGGAAGUUUGAUAGGCUAAGGUAUGAAAUACACGGUUCAUUGAAAUAUUGUCUGGUAAUUUGGCAGGAAGGAUUUAGGUAUCAUCAUGCUGAAUCGAAUUACUUGAUGCUUGUCUGCUGGCUUCCUGAGACCCUGGAUACUAUUCCUGUGAAUGCUUCACAUAGGGUGGGCGUUGGUGCUUUCGUCUUGAAUGAUAAAAGAGAGGUAACUUUCUGCCUUGCCAUUGUCCCAUUUCUAGCACUCACCCUUUUAAGACUCUCUAAUAGGAAGCUGCAAAGGGAUGGAAAUGUAACAUUUGAUUUGCUCAUUCAGUUGUUCUUAGAAGUUCAGAGUUGGACUCUAGCACCUCUCUGCAGUAGUGUGUAAGACUAGAGAUUUGCAGUGCGUGAAAUCAGCCUGCUUGAUAGGCAUUGAGUCCUUUAGAAGGAUAGGUAGGAUCACAGUAAUUUCGCCUGGGAAGAAAACCUCUGCAUUCAAUGUCCAUUGGGUUUGUACGCAUGUAUGUUACCAUUGUGGAUAAGCAGAGAUAUUGGAGUGCGAUAAAUCUUCUCAUCAUAGCAACAAUCGCAUAAUCUUCUAUCUGUUUUCCUAGGGAUUCAGCUCGUGGAUAAUAGCCUUACUUUGUGAAGAGAUAAAAUGCAGUGAAGUUUUAUGCCAACUUUUGUUCAGUGCAUGCUUUUUUACUGCUUUAUCCUGUUUUCAGCGUGAUUCUUACGCAACCACACCCUAAAGAAUUUAAAACCUUUCCCUCCUUUCUAGGUGCUUGUAGUCCAAGAGCAUAGUGGAAGGUUCCAAGGUACGGGUGUAUGGAAACUCCCCACAGGAGUCGUGAAUGAGGUGAGUAUGUUUACGAUGUCAAGUGCUACAUAAGAAGUAUCCAUAUGUAAUACAAUGGUUUGACUGUGACUCCAUCCCUGUAGGGAGAGGAUAUAUGUCAUGCAGUUGUCAGGGAAGUAAAGGAAGAGACUGGAGUAAGUGAAGAGUUUUAUGUUGUGUAAAAAAGUUAAUUAUCUGAGGCAUUUCACUUGAGAAUUCCAACUAAAGCCUUAUUCUUUUACGAUCUACAGGUAGACACUAAAUUUGUUGAAGUCCUUUGUUUCAGGUAAAGAAAAUCCUCUAUUUCAGAUUGCGGUGCAUUAAUAUGUUUUGGUCUUUAUUUAGAUAUCUGUGUUUAGCCUUCUGAUGUUCAAAUUUGCUUUCGCUUUCUCACAUUCUAUCUCUUAUGUUUGAUCACAGACAAAGCCACAAAUCAUUCUUCACAAAGUCGGAUUUGUUCUUCCUUUGCAUGCUUCAGCCAGAAUCAUCUGCUAUUGAUAAACAGAAUGUAGAGAUUGAGGCAGCCCAGGUAAAUUGCACACUUGCAUAUCUUCUUGAUUUUGGUGGAAGUAUGAGGACUCUUUAAUAGUUAAAUCAUUGCUCGGGCAGUCUUGUACAACACUGGGCUGCAUGCUUUGGAUCUUGCAUUCUCGCUCAUUUGUGCUGAACAAUGAAUCUAGUAAAAUUUAAUGUAUAAUUUCUCAAGCACAUCGACGACGAGUGAUCUCGCUGGAUACCUGUUAGGAUAUAGCCAUGUAGUAGCCGUGUUAAAAGUUGAUCAUUCAUUAGUUCUUUCUUUGGCCAAAUCUAUGAACUGAACUGGAUUUGUUUUCUCUUGAUUAUAGUGGAUGCCAAUUGAGGAGUAUGCAGCACAACCUUUUGUUGUUGGAAACAAGCAAUUCAAUUUCAUGGCGAAGAUAUGCUUGGCGAAGGCUGAUCAUGGCUACCCUGGUUUUGGUGCUUUGGCCACAACAACGGGGGGUGGCAAAAGGACUUACAUCUACUGCAGUGACCCUGAAAUUGAAUAGCACUUUGCGUGUUCGAUAUAAUUCCUGCCUGGGUUGUAAUGUGGAAUUUCUUCCUUAGACCCAGGCCUACUGGACUGGACCGUGUUGAUCCCACGACUGAUUUUGUGAACACUACGUGAGCCCUAGAUGUAGGUCCCACAAAAUCAAAGGUUAGGAUGGACUCAGUCGAGUGACCUAGGACUAAGGCAAGAAUUUUCCAGUUGUGAUGUCGCAUGACCAUUGAUGGUGGCCAACUGGGGGGGCUUAUGGAGGAGGCGGCCAAAGCUCUUGAAGAUGGGAAGAUCGAUGUCCAUUCUGAUCUAAAUUUGUUAUAGUUUGGUUCAAACACUUCAGAAUUAUCUUCAACUUCAAUUCAUGUCCUCAAGUAAUAAAAUCAAUUUAGACUUAGCAUUAUUUUUAAAUAAAUAGCUUAGGCUUAGCUUAAUCAAAUUGAAUAGAACUAGGCUCGCCUUAGUUUUCUUAACAAGCUUCCAUGGGCUUAUGUCUUGAAGCUUAAUAACAAAGCUAUGUUUGUAUUGGGUUUUUCAUUUCUAUAACACUCGAUGAAUUGCGAGUUUACUUUUAUUGCACUUAGAAUAACUUAUUCUUUCAUUUCAAUGGAUGUUUACUUAUCGCACUGCAUUUCAAUACAUUGUUUGUUAAUUUAUCUUUCUUGGUUAGAAUUAUAAGUACUUUAAAUUUUCAAGGGACCUACCUACAAAAAGAUUUGCAUAGACAUUUAGGGUCCGUUUGUUUUGUGGAAAAUGUACAAUUUCUAGAAAAUACCUAUCAAGAAGUCAUCUUCUAUCGGUAUUUGAUUGAAACGUCAAAAUCAAUCAAAAAAUAUUUUUCGCUAUUUGUUGUGGAGAAUUUGAUUUGAUUUUUAUGAGGAAAAUUACUAAAAAAUAUGAUUUUUUUAAUUCUUGAUUUUAAAUUACUUCUAAUUUUUAAUUAUAUAUAUUCUUUUUUUUCCAUUAUUUCUCUUAUUUAUGGUAAGUUUAACGAUUUGAUCGUAAUUUUUGAAAGUUUUAAGACUCAAUUGUACUUUUAUAAUAAGUUUAAGAAUUUCUAGUACACUUAUCCAUUUAUAAAACUAUAGAGCAUAGCAUCUUUUUAAUAGAAGAAUAAUGAAGUUAAACUUAUACUAUGUUUGAAGAAAGGGAGGAUUAGGUUUCAGGGAUUUGCUUUCCCUUUAAGAAGGCAAUACCGAGAAAACAAGCUUGAAGACUAACUCAAAGUCCCUCAUCACUCUCAUGCCGGCCAUUGAAAUGAAUUUACUUUCCUUGUAUAGAUUUUUGGCAUGUAGAUAAAGGAGCAUGCCCCUUUUAGGGAUGGUAGAGCUUGCUCGUAGGAAGAGAUUUAGAGUGUGUUUGGUUUAGCAUUCCCAAUGGGCUUUAGAGGCUGGAAACCCCUUGGGAAAAUGAUGGGUCGUUUGGCAAUCAUUUUGAAGUAGCUUUCAAGUGAAAGUCAGCAUUAGGAAGGCUGAAAGUCCUAUGUUAGUAAGGAUUAGCUUUGAGCUUUCAGCAUUUGGCCAAAUGCUAAAACUUAUUUUUUUUUCCAAAACUAUCAUCACUCAUUUUUCAAAUUUCUUAUUUUGCCCUCAUUAUUAUUUUUUAAAAUGCCCAAAAUAAUGCUAAAAAAAGCAAAUUUAUAUAAAUGCUAAAAAAAAUUAAAUAUAUUUUGGUCUUUUAAAAAAAAUUAUUUAUAUAUUUGAUUUUUUUAGCAUUAUUGUCAAAAUUUAUAUUUAAAAAGCUGCAUACAUGAUUUUUUCAAUUUUAAAUAAAUACAAAUUAAAAAAUUCCGACAAAGGGUUUGGUCUUUUAAAAAAAAAUUAUAUAUAUGUAUUUGAUUUUUUAGCAUUAUUUUCAAAUUUAUAUUUAAAAAGUUACAUACAUUAUUUUUUCAAUUUUAAACAAAUAAAAAUUUCGAUGAAAGAUUUGGUCUUUUUUUUUUUAAAUAUAUAUGUAUGUAUUUGAUUUUUUUUGGUAUUAUUGUCAAAAUUUAUAUAUAAAAAGUUGCAUACUUUAUUUUUUUCAAUUUUAAACAAAUGAAUUAAAAAAAAAACUAAUAUUAAUCACACAAAGGGCUUUUUAAAUGUGUUUUCUACCAAUCGGCAUUUCUCUCAAAGUUACUUCUUAAAGUAUAGUUUACCAAACGGCCUUUGUAUUUACCUAAAGUCUUUUAGGCUAAAUUAUUUUGCAUUUUCCCAAUGGGCUUUCAAAAUAUUGAACCAAAUGCACCCUUAAUCUCUCACUUAGUACAUUGUUCAGUACUAGAGGUGUUAAAUGGGUUGUGCAAUCCAUUUAUGGACCCAUUUAAGCAUAAAUGGGUCGUUAAUGGGUCGGCCUCAUUUCUUAAGACACCCUGAUGGGUUUUUAAAAAAAAAGAACUAAAAUAAAUGGGUCUUAAAUGGGUACCCAUUUAAGACCCAUUUACAAAACCCAUUAAAGUCUGAAGAUGGGUUCAUCUGAUUAACCCACGUCCCGCGAUCUCGAUUCUCUACUCUACCCUACUCGGCUACCCCUUUUCGCUUCCACGAACCCAUCGUUGCCUCAUCGCCGCUUGCCACCGCCCAUUGUCGAGCACAAGCUCCGCACUGUCGGUAAUCUCUCCAGUCCCUUCGUUUCCUCUACUCGAAUCCAGAGCUGUUCCUUGCGCGUUGCGCCGGAGCCGGAUUUUUUUUCGCUCUCUUCUGUUUUUCCGAUUUCUUCUUCUCUUUUGAUAAAUUCUUCUUGGGGGGUGGGAUUUGCAGGUUCUCUGUGGCUGAGCGGGAUCGCGGGCUCGAUCGCCUACAACUGGUCGCAGCCCAACAUGAAGACCAGCGUCAAGAUCAUUCAUGCCAGGUACAUACCCUUAUCUUUUGUGACGUUUUGUUAGUUUGGAUACGGAUUUUGGAACCCAUUUCCCCUGUAAUUUUUAGCUUCUUACUGAUUGGAUUACUUGUCUCUGGUUGGGGAAAUUUGUGCCCUUUGCUUGUCCUUUGCAUUCUCCCAUCAGCAGAUAGGGAGAAGGGCAAAAGUAGAAAAAAUGGGCAUAUCGAGUUGGCUUGAUGUAUUUAUGGUUUUCCUGUUGGGGUUGAGAAGAUGUUAUGUUUAAAUUAUAUGUGCUAUGUAGAUUCUGGCUUAAUGGAUGUCCAGCACAGUUCUGUGUACACUUUCUCUGGUGACUGCUAAAGCUAUCGAGUGUGCUUUGUUAAUUUGUUCAAUAGCUUUCUUCCUUAUCCCUAGAAAUGGUUUGUCCUUUUUGUACAACUUACUAUGAACAAUUCUUCUUUUGCAUUGUCUAUUUGGUUAUUCCAUCUGAUUCUUGCGUAUUUUCAUUUAAGUACUUGUUGAUGUUGGUGGAAAACAGAUGGGCCGGGUGGAACUCCGGGAUGUUAAUCGUAAAGAAGAGUUUGUGAGGAGGAUUGUGUUAGGGAAAUCCCUUAUGAUGUUUUGAAGAUGACAAAAUAAAUCAAAGGCUACUAACAUGUUUGAUGGUUGAGUAAUAGACCGUGCAGAUGUUAGAACAUGUAGAGGAUAUUAUCAAAGUCAGAAGACGGCCAGAAGACUGAACGUAACAUAUGUCCAGAGUAUAUUUUGAAGAUUUCCAGACUUCUGUGUCAAAGUCUGAAGACUGCCAGACUCAAGACUCAAAGUCUGAAGACUAUCAGACUUUAGUGUCAAAGUCUGUUCUACAUCAGAAGUCUGCUCACUCUGACAAAUUCCAGACUGAACGUGAAUGAUGAACCAGAAGACAGACUCUAUGCUGAAGCUGAACCAGAAGACAGACUCUAUGCUGAAGCUGAACUGGGUACAGAUCUUAAAGCUAAAUCUGUUCAGAAGCAAAUAUGUUCAGACCCAGAUUGUAAAGUCUACAGACUCAGAUUGUAAAGUCUAUGGCUAUCAAACUUUACAUCCAGAUUCAACAGAUCGUAACUCAAGCCCAAUCAUACAACGGCUAGUGAUCUGGUUUGGAUUCCACAUCAAGAUUGAUUUGAUUGAUUCAAUCUAAUUGAUUGACGAUUGGAUCUUGAAGACAAGAUCUUUCUAUACGAAGAAGCUUUACUUAUGGAAACCAAGAUUCCGUUUGUAUGGGCAAUCGGAAUCAAUUGGGGAUUUUACCUUUGUCACUCAACGGCUACCAAAUCUUCUAAAUACAGAGCUGUCCAAUGGGUAUAUUGGAAGACGAUUCUCCGGGAUGCUGUCCAACGGCUAGUUUGGAAGUGGAGGAGUAUUUAAGGAGAUGAAGGACCGAUGAGCAAGUAAGAGACGGAGCGUAGAAUUUAUAAUUCUAAAGUCUGAGCGACUUUCGAUCAUAUACUUGUCUCUUGAGAGCUUAAACGUUUGUAAUCGUGAGAGAAAUACUAAGAAAGUGACUUAGUGAGAUAGUGUGAUCUACUACUAAGUGUUUGCACUCGAAGUUGUAAUCUCUUGUUGAUUGCAUAGUGGAAUCCAGCCAAGAAGGCUGUUAGCGUGGGAGAGUGGACGUAGGCUUGGAUUAAGCCGAACCACUAUAAAUCUUGUGUUCUUAUUCUCUUCCCUAACUCUUUUAUUUUGUUCAUACUAGCACUCUCAGAUUGAAGAAGCUGCAAGAAGUAAUCUGAUCUUGAUUUUCAGCUAACUAAUAGUGAAGUAGCACAUAUAAUGAUGUAUUCUUGGUAUACGUUUGUGGCCUCUAUAGGACUGGGAAGCUACAGUUCCAUGCAAGUGAUAAUGAGAUUGUGCAACAACGUGACAAAGUAAUGAGGAUAUUAACUUUUAUAGUUCUAAGUUCCCCUUGAGACUCACAUAAUCCAACCUAUUUUUUUUUGGUUUUUGAUGUGCAUAGUNNNNNNNNNNNNNNNNNNNNNNNNNNNNNNNNNNNNNNNNNNNNNNNNNNNNNNNNNNNNNNNNNNNNNNNNNNNNNNNNNNNNNNNNNNNNNNNNNNNNGCUUGCCCAGCCACGGUGAGGCUCGCCGGCCCCCAGCAAGGCCGAGCUCGCCCAGCCACCGGUCGCCUGGUAGCUCGCCCAGCCACCGGUCGCCUGGUAAGUGGCCUGGCGAGGCCAAGCCUCGCCAGGGGCCGGUGACACUCCGGCGAGGUCGCCGGCCCUCGACAGCCGGUUGCUAGUCAUGGACGAGGCCAACGACCGGCCAAAGAAAAAAGAAAGAGAAGAAAAGAAAGAAGAGAGAAAAUUUAUUUAUCCAAAUUGUUCCAGAAACAAGAAACACGUUUUUUUUUGUUUCUUGUCUCUGUUUCAAUUUUGUUCAUGGGAAUAAAAAAACAUAUUUGGAACAAAAACGCAAACAAAUGCGUUUCUGUUCUUUUUUUGUUCCCAGGAACAAAAAAACAGGAUUUUUGUUCAUAAACAAAAAAAAAAGAGUACAAACAUACAGGCCCUGACACUCCCUCUUUUUUGGGGUUUUUUAUUAUUGGAAUUUGUUUAGUACAAAAACCAAAAAACCCAAACUAUUUACAUUUAGCCUAAACUUUCUUUGUAACAUAAAAAAUCUCAAAUUAUGCUAACUAUAAUACUUUUACCUUUAUGAUAUCAAAAAUUGCAAAACUCUUAUUGUGUGAUAUAUUUACACUUCAUCAAAGUUUAAUUAAAUGAUUUUUCAGUCAAAAUGAAGUCAUUUAUUUUGCUUAAGCCACGUCCAUGAAAAUAGAUUUUUAGUGGCACUCAUUGACCGAAUAUUAAUGUAAGGUAAAUAUGUCAAAAUUUUGGAAUUUUAAGUUUGAGGAUGUUUUUUCUUUAAAAAAAAAAAGAAGGAAAAUUUAUUGCUCUCGAGUGAUGUAUUAGAAGGGAAACGGGUCCUUCCUAUGUUUAAGGGAAGGGAAUGGAGUAGUUGAGUGUGCAAUUGGAUAAAAGAAAAUUUCAGAGGCGUGUGAUUGAAUAAAUUAAAGAAGCUCAACAACUACGGACUGCUUAAUUCUUUCAUUUAUUAAUUUUCGCAUGACCAUUAGCCAAGACGGUCGACAAAUUGCCGUCCUAAAGCAGUUAUCCCCGCCCUUGAUUUUGACAUAAAUUUUCAUUUACCGUGACUCAUUCUCAAAAGGUAGAUUUCCAUGAAAGGUACCAAAAACCAAAAGAGGAAGGCGACGGACACUUUCGAUGAUCUUCCCAUUGCCUCUUCUCUAGUCGUUUUCCAAUCUCAAAGUCUUGUCAUUUCCAUUUUCCUAGGAUUCUUCAGUCAAUUAAAUGACUCUGAUAUUAUAAAACUUGAAUCUUUGGUCAAUCAUAAUAAACUAUUGAAACGUGGAAGGUCCUUAGUAUUACAAAAUUAAUAGACAUAAGAAGCAAGCGGAAGAAACAUUAUGAAAACAUUGUUAGUAACGCUUCAAUAAUAAGGGGGAAAUUAUAAAAAAAAGUCCUAAAUUUAUUGUAAUUGUGUCGGUUUAGUUCUAAACUUUUUUUUUUUCAUCAAUUGAGUCAUGAACCUUUUACAAUUAUUCUCGAUCAGUCCAUCCGGCAAAAAUUAUCCGGCCAGCGCUGAUGUGGCACCUGGUCGGCACUGGCAAACUUUUUUUUUAAUAAUAUAUUUUAUUUUUUGAAAUAUUUUUUGAAAUAUUUUAUCUUUUUUUUUUUUUCCUUUUUCCUCUUUUUCCCCCCUUCUCCCUCUUCCUUCUUCCUCCCUCCUCCCUCCUCCUUCCUUUGGCUCCGGUGACUAGCCAGUCACUGGACUGAGGCGAUUUGGUGAGCUCGCGCCCAAUGACAGUGGGGCGAGCCCCCACCGGAUUUGGCAAGGGCUCGCCUCGCGGUCAUCGAGCGACGCGAGCUCUCGCUAGAUUCGGCGAGGAGGGCAAUGCGGUGAGCCCUCGCCGGAUCCGGCGAGGGCUCACCCCGCAGUCGUUGGACGUGAGCUUGCCAACGAGCAAGGUUUCACCCUGUUGUCACUGGGCGUGAGCUUGCCGACUGGCGAGGCGAGCCCUCGCUAGACCCAGUGACGGUGAGGCCCCCCUCGCCGGAUCUGGUGAGGGCUCGCUUUGCUAGUGGUUGGGGCGAGCUCGUCCUCACGCAGGACGAUGAGGCGAGCUAACCCAGCCGCCUCAGUCCUGGCGACGAGCCAUCCUUGCCUUUGGUCAGACGCAGUAGCCAAUGAAAAAGAAGGGCAGACGAAGAGGAGAAGGGAGAAGAGGGGGCUCGAGACUGCAGAUCACAAACUCUCACGACUGAUAGACUCCUAAAUAUUAUUAAAAAAGGUCACCANNNNNNNNNNNNNNNNNNNNNNNNNNNNNNNNNNNNNNNNNNNNNNNNNNNNNNNNNNNNNNNNNNNNNNNNNNNNNNNNNNNNNNNNNNNNNNNNNNNNNNNNNNNNNNNNNNNNNNNNNNNNAUUUUCUUAUAAUAAGAUGAUGGUCCACAAAAAUAGGAGCUUGCCACUUUUGAAGCAAAUGAAAUCAUUGCUAACAUGAUUUUGUUAAUAAGGGUUCUCAUCAGUUGUCUUUUCUCAUGUCAUUCACAAUUAAUGUUUUGAAAAUCGUACAAAUUUUGUAUUAAGUAUGCUUAAUCUCAUUAAUAAUAUCCUUACAAAAUAAAAAGAGUUUAGGUAUAUUGAGGGCGUGUUCGAUAACCACAUUUAGUAUUACAAUUUAUAAGGAAAGAGCUGCUUAGUUAAAUUCAAAUGAAAAUAUUUAGUGAGAAUUAGGGUAGUACCAAUUAUAUUGCUAAAACUUAUUAAUAAUGUUUGGUUCAUGAUCGAUGAGGAACUAAAAAUCUCCCUAACUAUUCAUAGUGAAACCACCAUUUAAUUCCACUUUCAACACUAGAGUUGUGGACAUAUUUAGUGCUUAAAUAUGUAGCAGCCAUUUUACAAUUUUAUUGAAAUGAGCCUUUGGAGGCUAAGAUCGCUAUUAUGCAACGAGAUAAAUUUUAGUUGGAUAUUAAAUGUGAUCCACUUAUUUUAUUUUAUUUUAUAUUUUUUUUGGGUCCGUGAUCCACUUGUUCAUACGUUCAGUAAUAAUUUGCCUUUUCAUUGAUUUAAUAGUUGACGGCAAACACUAAUGAAUAGUAAUUUGCCUUAAAUUAUUUUCAUCAUAUAUUUCUAUAUUAAAGAAUAAUACAUGCCUUAUAAGGUGAUUAAGAUAAAGAUAAUAUCAAUUAUAAUCUAUUAAAGAUAAGCACAAUUUAUAUAGGAAAAAUGACACAAAUAAUCCUUGAACUUUAAUUAAUAUGUAAUGUGGUUUUUAAACUUUAAAUUCAUUCAAUAUGAUUCCCAAACUUUCAAUUUGUUUAAUUUGUUUAAUAUAAUUUUUGGACUUCUUGUACAUAUGCAGUUUAGUCCCUAAACUAUAUAAAAAAAUUCAAUGUAGUCCCCACAUAUAAAUUAAUGAAAAGAUAAUAUCGAACAUUUUCAUAUAAUUAAAGAAUUAAGUUAAAUAUGUACCAAAAUUUUAGUAUCAUAUUUAUAAAUUAAAAAAUUUAGGAUCAUAUAUAUAUUAGACUAAAUUUGAUGAUCAUAUUAAAUAAAUUAAAAAUUUAUGAACCACAAUAAAACUUCAAGCUUCAGGGUUAUCUGUGCUCUUAUUCAAUUCAUACAUGCAACCCUGAAGAUGACGGAGAAUGAAAUAACAUCGCAAUUGUCAAAAGUCUGUCAUUAUGUCAUGUCAGACGCGUUCUUGCGGUGAACCCGGGAGAAGGGCCAAUCGCCAGUCCACACCUCCACAACGAGGAAAAGCCCAAGACAGACGGCGACGACCCAAAAACAUAGUAGAUUCUGAGCCUCCGAGUGUCGACUCUAGUCCUUCCUUCGUCUCUGCAACCGCGAAGGGGGUCUCCCCCCCUGGCCGCGGGGAAUUUCCGCGGUUUCCUUGGAUUCCGUGUCCGUUGAGGACUGGAACCAACGGGGGAACAUUCGCAGCAAAUAUUUCGAAGGCCCAGGUCACACGCCAUUCCUUCUCCCCCGAUUGCGCAACUCCCCAGACCUAGAAGAANNNNNNNNNNNNNNNNNNNNNNNNNNNNNNNNNNNNNNNNNNNNNNNNNNNNNNNNNNNNNNNNNNNNNNNNNNNNNNNNNNNNNNNNNNNNNNNNNNNNUCAAGGAUUAGAUGCUGUGGAUCCAACGUGUUGGGUAUUGUGUGUAUCAUCAAUGUGGACUCCACACACAUUAUGUCACAUCUAUUUUAAAACAAGUUAAAUGGGUCGGGCCGCCCAGCCGUCAUCGUGGCCCGGUGACCGGCCAAAGAGAAGAAGAAGAAAAAAUAAAAAGGAAAAAGAAAAAUUAUAUUUAAAAAAUAAAAAUAAUUUAUUUUUAAAAAAAUAAGAAAUAAUUAAAAUUCGAUUUUUUAAAAUAAUUAUUUUAAAAAUUUUAAAAAUUGUCCAUUAAAUUUGUGUUUUAUAAAAUUAUUUUAGCAAUACCAUUUUAUAUAUAUAUAUAUAUAUAUAUAUAUAUAUAUAUAUAUCUAUAUCUAUAUCUAUAUCUAUAAUAAAUUAAGUUUAGUUAAAUGGGUUGGGUAUGGGUUGGGUAUGGGUCAAAAUUUUUGCAUUGUAAUAAACGAGUUAAUGGGUCGAUUUGGGUCGGACCAUUUAUGACCUGACCCAAACCCGACCCGACCCACCCGUUUAACGGGUAUACAGUAUGUAAUGAAGCUAACAUAACAAUUAGAGAAGACAAAUGGCUGAAAAAGAUGGGUGCUUGGAGGUCCUGCUCCUAGAGGUGAGCCACUAGUGGCAGUUGAUCUAAUUAACAAGGAGGAGAACGUAUGGAAUGUUAAGCUUCUUGAGGAUAAUUUUGACGUUAAAUUGUCAAUAAAAUCCUAUCUAUUCCAAUGAGGACUCAUAUAGCAAAAGAUUAGAUUGUAUGGACAUGGAUUCAAUCGGACAAAUAUUCAAUCCAAAGAGGAUAUAAUCGCAUAAGAGGGUUAGAUGACAAGCCUAGCUAGAUUCAAGCAUUUUCCUCCAUUCAAGUUCCUUACCGUCUAUGGAAGGAGAUAUGAAACUUGUGUAACACCCCUAAAGUCAAAUUAUGUAUGUGGUCCUUAUGUCAAAAUGCUCCACUUAUGAAGGAGAACCUAUUUGAAAUAUGAAUUGUACCCAAUUCGAUGUGUGCAUUGUGCAAUGAAGGCAUCCCUAAGAAAACAAAGCAUUUAUUCUUGUUAUACCCAUGGACAACCCACAUCUAUAUAUUAAACUUUUGACAUAAGGUUUGUCAAGAAUUGAAGCAUGGAUAUAAGAAUUAGAAGCAAACUCAGCUCACUCGCCCAAUCUGGAAGCGGUCGCGUUGGUGCUCUGGCACAUGUGAAAAGCACUAAAUCACUUCGUCCUCAUGAACAGACCUCUAGCUACACUAGGCGUCAUGGAUUAUGCAUUCACAAACUCAAAGAUUUCCAAAAAUUGGGGACUUAACACAACACCUACAGAACUUUUGGUCUCCACCAUAGCUCGGGUCAUUGAAAAUUAAAGUCGACAGAGCAUACAAUCCUUGAUCGACGAAUAGAAUCAUUGCUUGCAUUUGUCGUGAUCACUCGACAAGGCUUGUCGAUGGAUUUGCAAGAACUGUUUAGGCAUGGAUUUGCAAGAACUGUUUAGGCUUCAUCACCUUUUCGAUGGAGUGUCAUAUGUCGCUUUAAACCUAGUGUCCUUGUUGCCAAGAAAGAAAAUCUUUCGAUUGAGUCCCAUAAUCUCUGGUUAAUCAAUAUCCAUGGGAAGUUUGUAUACUGAUCACUAAGUGUCAUGGUCUGUUGCUCAACUUCUUAAAUAUCUAGUUUCAACAUUGCUAUAAAGAGGCAACUCCAUUGGGGACUUGGAAAGCCAAAGCCAUAGGAGAAAUUCCCUUCCACUAAUUUGGGUUAUUUCACCUCCCUUAAUUCUUUGGAACUUUUAUGUACUGAAACCCUUUUACAAGGCCCCUUUGGUUUUACUAGUUGAAUGAAAUGAGCUUUAUUUUGACAAAAAGGAAAAAGAGGCUGAUUGGAAAAAAAUUUCUUGCUUAGAUAAUUUCAUAUUAUUUUUUUUCGUCAAUUUCAAAGGAGGCGGUUUUUUUUUUCCUAAGAGAGUUCGACACAAACAAUCAUUAUAUUGUUCUACACGGUUUUAUUGGAGAAGCUAACUUUUUCCGCACUCAUAUUUUGCAUAUAUUUCCAUUCUAAAUUAUUAACUAAAUUCUCACUAUUAGCACAUGAUGUACACAUUUUCUUAGAACAUAUUGCCUUUUUCUUUUGUUUUCAACUUUUCUUUCCUGACGUGUACUCGUUCAAUUAUCAAUAACCAAUCAUUAAUAUAACCAUUGCCAAGUCGGCCACCGAUUUCUCCUUAGAAUAGAUCUCUUUUAUCUCAAUUCCAAAUAUCUACCGCCUAGAAAGACGGUUUGCAUGUCUACUGCCCAACAUCAUAUUUUAAUUGGGGAAGAAAGACAUCGACAGUUCUUUAACUUUUUUUUUUUUUCAAUUUGGGGUAUCAUCAAAUAAAACAUUUGAUGGCAAGUUGAUCGAUUAAUUCCAUAAGAAAUAGUAAUUAGUACCCGGUUUAAUUAAUACCACAACCGAAUCCACUUUCAUUUUGAUAAUCAAUGCUGACAAUUCUUGAAUUUUUUUUAUUUCAAUUUGGACUAUUGUUGAAUCCCAUAUAUAUAUAUAUAUAUAUAUAUAUAUAUAUAUAUAUAUAUAUGANNNNNNNNNNNNNNNNNNNNNNNNNNNNNNNNNNNNNNNNNNNNNNNNNNNNNNNNNNNNNNNNNNNNNNNNNNNNNNNNNNNNNNNNNNNNNNNNNNNNNNNNNNNNNNNNNNNNNNNNNNNNNNNNNNNNNNNNNNNNNNNNNNNNNNNNNNNNNNNNNNNNNNNNNNNNNNNNNNNNNNNNNNNNNNNNNNNNNNNNNNNNNNNNNNNNNNNNNNNNNNNNNNNNNNNNNNNNNNNNNNNNNNNNNNNNNNNNNNNNNNNNNNNNNNNNNNNNNNNNNNNNNNNNNNNNNNNNNNNNNNNNNNNNNNNNNNNNNNNNNNNNNNNNNNNNNNNNNNNNNNNNNNNNNNNNNNNNNNNNNNNNNNNNNNNNNNNNNNNNNNNNNNNNNNNNNNNNNNNNNNNNNNNNNNNNNNNNNNNNNNNNNNNNNNNNNNNNNNNNNNNNNNNNNNNNNNNNNNNNNNNNNNNNNNNNNNNNNNNNNNNNNNNNNNNNNNNNNNNNNNNAAUGCUCAUUACGUUGUCGUUAAACUUGAUGGGACAUAAGACUCAUAUAUAGCACUUUUUCUAUUUAAAAAAGAGAAUUCUGGGAAAAAUAAAAGAACAAGCACCAGCGGAGGGAAGGAAAGGGGCUGCUGUUGCGAAAGAGGCGGCCGGAAAUCCUCGCAAGGUCACCCGAUCCCAGCGGGUGGCGAGGGAUGCGAAGCAUCCGAGGAGGGACUUGAUCAUGGGUUUUUCCUUGCGAGGGAUGAUGAGACCAUCUGUUCCAGUAGAGAUCUCGGGUGGAUCUAUCUUGGUGGUUCUCAGGUUGUUUCGUUGCUGUUGCCGGCGUCAGCGGCAAAGAAGCGACGGUGAGUUUAGGUGGCGGAGGUUGAGCAGGGCAGCAACCCCGACGGCCAUGGAUUCGCACGAACCUGAUGUUUAUUACCUUCUCUGCAGCUACCAUAAACAGAUCUGAGAGCGCGCAUCUCUCUCUCCGUCCCUCUUUCUCUCCCUCUCCAUACGCGACGAGCAUAAAGAUAAUGGGUCCGGCCAGGCGAGGAGGGAGGUGAAGCAGGCGAAGUCACGACCUUCAUCAGCCUCGCCACUUGCCGGCGAGGACCAUGGCACUCUCCGCAGAUCUAGCGUUGCGGCCUUGCUGAAUUCUCUCUCUCUCUCUCUCUCUCUUCAUAUGAGGGGGCGGUGGUGGCGGCGGCGGCGGCAACAAUGGGCCGAGACAACAUCGGUGGAUAGAGGCCCUGCCACCGGCCGAGAUACCUCCUCCUUCCUUGAUUAGGCUUAGCCACUAGGGCGCGUUUGGUAACGUUUCUGUUAAAAAAUUGUUCCAGGGAACAGAAAUAGAAAAAAUUAUUUCUGCUCUGGAGAACAAUUUUUGAAAAGAAGACAGCGUUUGGUAAACUUGUUCCGGGAAUAAAAAAUGAGCAGAAACACUUCUGCGGCAGAUUUGGCCGAGCAACGCUCGCUCGAGGGACGGCUCGCCGCGCCGAAGGGGGAGCAGUGCCGACCGGAGAAGGAGCGCCGAAGGGGGAGCGACGCUCACCGGAGGAGGAGGGCCGAACGGAGAGCAACGCUGACCGGAAACGUACCUGGAGUCGCCGGAGUGAGGAGUCGCCGGAGAGUUAGUCGAGUGGGAGCCGCCGGAGAGAUGGAAGACAUGCCGGAAACGGAAGAACGAAGCUUCAGCCGAGAGGAGCGACGACGAGCACGCACGAAGAGUUCUUCGCUUUGUUCCGAAUUUGUUCUUUUGUUUCUUUCGUUUUUGUUCUUUUGUUCCGUCGAAGAAGUGUUUCUUUUCAAAAGAAACAACUUUUUUUUGUUUCUUUUUUCUGUUCCUAUUUCGUUCCAGAAACAAAAAAACAAAAAAGGAACAAAAACGCAACCAAACGCGUUUUUGUUCCUUUUUUGUUCCCGGGUACACUUUCCGUACAAAAGUGUGCCGGAAACGUUUCUUAGAAACGUUUCCAUGCACGCCCUUUGUGUUCUUUUUUUUGUUUCUUUUAAUUUUUUAAUAUUUUUAUUUUAUUUUUCUUAUUUUUCUUUCUUUUUUCUUAUUUUUCUUCUUUUGGUCGGUUGCCCAAGGCGAGCUCGGGCUUGCCCAAAUUCGGCGACCCGAGCUCGCCCAGCCUUGCCCCGCGCCGGCGAGGCCGAGCCUCGCCAGGGGCCGGCGACGCUCCGGUGAGGUCGCCGGCCCUUGACGGCGUCGCCAGCCAAAGAAAAAAGAAAAAGAAAAGAAGAAGAAAAAGAGAAGAAAAAGAGAGGAGAGAGAAAAUUGUUCCAAAAACAAGAAACACGUUUUUCUUGUUUUUUGUUUCUGUUCCAAAUGUGUUCUUAGGAACAAAAAAAUAGAUUUUGAACAAAAACGCAAAUAAACGCAUUUCUAUUCUUUUUUUGUUCCCUAGAACAAAAAUACAGAAAUUUUGUUCAUAAACAGAAAUAAAGAACGUUAACAAACAAGGCCUUAACGUGUGUUUUUUUUUUGGUAAGGUAGGCCUUAACGUGUGUUUAUUUGUGUUUCUAUUCAAAAAUUGUUCCAAGGAACAUAAAUAGAAAAAACNNNNNNNNNNNNNNNNNNNNNNNNNNNNNNNNNNNNNNNNNNNNNNNNNNNNNNNNNNNNNNNNNNNNNNNNNNNNNNNNNNNNNNNNNNNNNNNNNNNNGAAGAUUAACUAAGUAUAAUCGACCCACUCCUCGCGCGCCAGGGCUCCGUGCCGAGACCGGUCGUCCGAGGUCUCUUUUUUAGUGCUUUGACUCCUUGCGAGUGAAGGGCUUUAGAGGGUACGCGUGGAUCGAUGCAUUUGGUUUUCUCUCUCCACUUCUCAUUGUUUAAUCCAUCGUGUGUGGCGACGGCAAAGCCUACCCAAUUGCCCACCUUUCGUAUUUCUUUAUUUGUUUGAUUCAUGGACAUUCGCAAUUUAGUUGGUUUUUGUGUUUGGUCCUUUUUUUUGUCAGAAAGUUUUUAUUUUUCUCCAUGGGUGUGGCUGUCUUGAUGCUCUUUAUAUUAAAGCAUGUCUCGAGUUUGAGUUUAACGUGAAAUUCUAAAUAUUCCGAAUUGGAUAUGUUGCGGACGUUCAAAAUUGAGCAAAAAAGAUUCGAAUAUCAACUUCUCAAAAUUCGAAUCUGCGUUGAAGAGUUUGGCCACUGAAAUAGGAAAGUCCAACUUUCACUAGGAUUUGGAUUUUGUUUAAAAUAUAUAGGAAUAUAUUUUGGUUAAAAUAGGUAAGUUAAGAAACAGAAUCCUAUGAGAAGUCAGCAAAAGAAUAAGAUCCCACUUAUAUAUAUAGACUCGUGGUUGUGGAUGGUAGGAAUUUAAUAAUGAAAAAUUGGUCUUGAAGCACUAAGUUCUUGGGAGGAUUUUCUUUAAAUUUAGUGUUGAAGCCAAUUAAAUGUUGUGGUAAGAUUUGCAUGUAAUUUUUUCGUGAGAUUGAGAGAUUAUUUCUUGAGGAAUUCGGGGCUAAACACUACGUGUGUUAUUGGGUGCGAGUGAGUGUAAUUGAGGUUGGAAAAUACCGAGAGAGAAUGUUUGAGAGACUCGAGUGUGUAAUAUUCUUAUAUCGCUUGAUCUAUAGUAAAAUUCAUUACUGCUCUCCCCAUGGACGUAGAUUUUUACAACCGAACCAUAUAAAUCUGAUGUCCGAUUUAUCUUAUUCUGUCUAUAUUACUGUUCGAUUAUUCGCCUUUUCGCAACACUUUGUGUAUCCAUUGGAUGAGUGACUAGUGAGGUUCUUGGUUGUUCCUGGACAAAUAUAUAUUGAGAAAAAUGAACAUCAUCACCCAAGGGAGUGUUUGCGAGAGCGUUAGACUUAGUAAACAGAGACUAUUGAAGUGUUCCUCCUCCUUUUUUAUAUUAUUAUUAUUAUUAUUAUUUUUUUUUUAUAGUUCUGUUCUGGGUUAAUUUCUAUUUGGGUUUAUUACUUUACUUUUGAGCUAGACCAGUUGUUUCCGAUAGAAAUCAGUGGAUGAAUGGUCGCUUCAUUUGUCCAGGUUUAGCUCCUAGGGUGCCGUUUCCCAUCAGGUACAAGUCCAUCAGUGCAUCAUCAGCUUUGAGGCAAGGCAUGACUGAACAUAACGAUAGUGGGAUCGAGCAGAUUCAACUGCUUGAUGGGUGUGAGGAUUCAUAUGGAGGAGUCAGGGUGGAGAUCAAGGAGGAUAUGGAUGCUGAUGUCAUGAAAGCUGAUGUCUUUGCAUCUUUGCUCCGGGCUUCAAUAUCAAGCUGGAAACAACAGGUACCGCACUUGUAUUUCAUCUGUCUUGUCAGUUUGUUUUUUUCGAUUUGUAACAAUAUCAAUCCGGUCUUCUGUAUUUCUUCUUACCGGGUAUAUUUUGGUUGCAGGGGAAGAAGGGAGUGUGGAUCAAAUUGCCCAUUAAAUGUUCACAUCUCGUUGACGUUAUAGUGAAGGUACAUACAUGUGUUUUUUCAUGGCCAAGAUUUAGUGUUGGCCUCUCUUGUUCAAUCGCUUUCUAGCAGGAAGUUUGAUAGGUUUAGGUAUGAAAUACAAGGUUCAUUGAAAUAUUGUCCGGUAAUUUGGCAGGAAAAUUUUAGGUAUCAUCAUGCUGAAGCAGAUUACUUGAUGCUUGUCCGCUGGCUUCCUGAGACCCAGGAUACUAUUCCUGCUAAUGCUUCACAUAGGGUGGGUGUUGGUGCUUUCGUCUUGAAUGAUAAAAGAGAGGUAACUUUCUGCCUUGCCAUUGUCCCGUUUCUUGCACUUGCCCUUUUAAGACUCUAAUAGUAAGAUGCAAAGAGAUGGAAAUGUAACAUUUGAUUUGCUCAUUCAGUUGUUCUUAGAAGUUCAGAGUUGGACUCUAGCACCAGACUUCUCUUGCGGUAGUAUGUAAGACAGGAUAUUUGCAGUGUGUAAAAUCAGCCUGCUCGAUAGGCAUAGAAUCCUUUAGAACGAUAGGUAGGAUCACUGUAACUUUGCCUGGGAAGAAAACCUGUGCAUUCAAUAUUCAUUUGAUUUUUAUGCGUGUAUGUUGCCAUUGUAAGCAGAGAUAUGGGAUUUGUUUUCUUUUUCAUAACAGAACCAGUCUUUGGUGCCAAUGCCUCGCUAUAAUCUUUUGGUCUGACUAGGUUAUAUCUACGACAAGCCAUUUCAUAAUGUGACUUCAGGCCAUAUUACCAUUUGGAGUGCAAUAAAUCUUCUCAUCUUAGCAACAAUCACAUAAUCUUCUAUUAGUUUUCCUCCGGAUUCAGCCCGUAAAUAAUAGCCUUACUUUGUGAAGAGAUACAAUGCAGUGAAGUUUUAUACCAACUUUUGUUUGGCGCAUGCUUUUGCACUGCUUUAUCUUGUUUUCAGCGUAAUUCUUUUGCAAUUACUCUAAAGAAUUUAAAACCUUUCCCUUCUUUCUAGGUGCUUGUAGUCCAAGAACAUAGUGGAAGGUUCCAAGGUACGGGUGUAUGGAAACUCCCCACAGGAGUUGUGAAUGAGGUGAGUAUGUUUAAGAUAUCAAGUGCUACAUAAGAAGUACCAAUAUGUAAUGCAAUGGUUUGACUGUGACUAUCCCCGUAGGGUGAGGAUAUAUGUCAUGCGGUUGUCAGGGAAGUAAAGGAAGAGACCGGAGUAAGUGAAGAGUUUUAUGUUGUGUAGAAAAGUUAAUUAUCUGAGGCAUUUCACUUGAGAAUUCCAACUAAAGCCUUAUUCUUUUUCGUUCUACAGGUAGACACUAAAUUUGUCGAAGUCCUCUGUUUCAGGUAAAGAAAAUCCUCUAUUUCAGAUUGUGGUGCACUAAUAUGUUUUGGUCUUAAUUUAGAUAUCUGUGUUUAGCCUUCUGAUGUUCAAAUUUGCUUUCGCUUUCUCACAUUCUAUCUCUUAUUUUCAAUCACACAGACAAAGCCACAAAUCAUUCUUCACAAAGUCAGAUUUGUUCUUCCUUUGCGUGCUUCGGCCAGAAUCAUCUGCUAUCAAUAAACAGAAUGUAGAGAUCGAGGCAGCCCAGGUAAAUAGGACACUUGCAUAUCUUCUUGAUUUUAGUGGAAGUACGAGGAGUUUUUACUAAUUAAAUCUUUGCUCGGGCUAUCUGUACAACACUGGGCUGCGUGCUUUAAUCUUGCAUUCUUGCUCAGUUGUGCCAAACAAUGAAUCUAAUUAAAUUUAAUGUAAUAAUAUCUCAAGCACAUCAACGACGAGCGACCUCACUGGAUAUCUGUUAGGAUGUAGCCAUGUGGUAGCGGUGUUAAAAGAUGAUCAUUCAUUAGUUCUUUCUUUGGCCAAAUCUAUGAACUGAGCUGGAUGUAUAUUAUUUUGAUUCUAGUGGAUGCCAAUUGAGGAGUACGCGGCACAACAUUUCGUUAUUAACAACAAGCAAUUCAAUUUCAUGGCGAAGAUAUGCUUGGCGAAGGCUGAUCAUGGCUACCCUGGUUUCAGUGCUUGGGAAACAACUACUGGGAGCGGCAAAACGACUUACAUCUACUGUAAUAACCCUGAAAUUGUGGAGAACUUUGCAAGUUCGAUGUAAUUACCGCCUGGGUUGUGAUGCGGAAUUCUUUCCUUAGACCCAGGCCCACUGGACCGUGUUGAUCCCCACCACUGAUUUUGUGAACCUCACGUGAGCCUACAUGUAGGUCCCUGGGACUAGGGCAAGAAUUUUUGCUUCUGGUGUUAUGGAUGCACUGAUUAAAUUGAAAAAUACAGCUUCAUUUUGUGUCGUUUUGUAAUAGCAUAUGUCAAAUUCUGUUUACAUGGGCUAGUUUCAAUUGAUGGUUUCUAGAUGCAGAAUCAUUUCUAAUAUCGUGAUUUCUAAAGGUUUAAA